RNAcentral lists this small RNA (410 nucleotides) under Arabidopsis thaliana (thale cress). RNAcentral's name for it is "ATSL234440". The record is from RNAcentral. Lineage: Eukaryota; Viridiplantae; Streptophyta; Magnoliopsida; Brassicales; Brassicaceae.
UUUCAUUGUUUAAGUAGGAGGAAUGUGUUCUCUUAGUUAGAUUUUCCUUUAGUAUACACAGAGAUGCAGCUUUGCUUGUCAAAAACUAGAGAAAGGAUAUCUCUAUUUAAAUUAAAAAGGGUCGCCUGAAUUUUCAGCCCUAUACUAACAUUCCACCCUAAAUUUUUAGCCACUUGAAAAACCACCAUAAACAAUUUUAAUCUCGAUAAAACUACAUGUACUUUCGGAUUUGUUCUUAAAACUACGCCUCCAAUUGAACCGACCAGUUAACCGAUAAUUAUACAUCCGGUUUGACUUACCCAUAAUUUAUCCAAAACUAAUCCGAUUUUGACUCUAUUUUAACCCAAUUUAUACCCAAAAAAUAUAUUCUCUAGAAGAAAAAUACUUUUUAUUUAUUUUUAUUUAUUUUU